Molecule: ribosomal RNA, 446 nt
Filed under: uncultured bacterium
Lineage: Bacteria
Description: bacterial SSU rRNA
Rfam family: Bacterial small subunit ribosomal RNA
Source: RNAcentral
GUCCAGACUCCUACGGGAGGCAGCAGUGGGGAAUAUUGGACAAUGGGGGGAACCCUGAUCCAGCGACGCCGCGUGAGUGAAGAAGUAUUUCGGUAUGUAAAGCUCUAUCAGCAGGGAAGAAAAUGACGGUACCUGAGUAAGAAGCCCCGGCUAACUACGUGCCAGCAGCCGCGGUAAUACGUAGGGGGCAAGCGUUAUCCGGAUUUACUGGGUGUAAAGGGAGCGUAGACGGCGAUGCAAGUCUGAAGUGAAAGCCCGGGGCUCAACCCCGGGACUGCUUUGGAAACUGUAUGGCUGGAGUGCUGGAGAGGCAAGCGGAAUUCCUAGUGUAGCGGUGAAAUGCGUAGAUAUUAGGAAGAACACCAGUGGCGAAGGCGGCUUACUGGACUGUAACUGACGUUGAGGCUCGAAAGCGUGGGGAGCAAACAGGAUUAGAUACCCUCGUA